Dreissena polymorpha is the source of this 453-nucleotide long non-coding RNA. RefSeq lists it as uncharacterized. The transcript is spliced from 3 exons. The record is from RefSeq and is a predicted model, not a curated record. Lineage: Eukaryota; Metazoa; Mollusca; Bivalvia; Myida; Dreissenidae.
AUUUAAGUGACCUUAAUAUUAUGCGUAAACCUAAGUGUGCAUUUGUAGGCGGUGUCGAAAUGGGUCUAUAGCUCUGCCUGAACUGUCGUCCAAUUGGUUUACAAGUCCGGCUGAAGUGACAGGCCAUCAAAAACUGUACAGUGUGACUGAUUCGGAGACGGCCCUCAACACUCGCCCAGUCGUGUCGAGAGGAUCGGUGUCUUUGCAGAUUACACGGAAUUGAGCACCCGGGCCAGACUGACACUUUCCGGAGCCUGCCCGAGACGGAACUCGAGCCGAGGAAUCAUAGGUCCAGGCGGUGUCGAAAUGGGUCUAUAGCUCUGCCUGAACUGUCGUCCAAUUGGUUUACAAGUCCGGCUGAAGUGACAGGCCAUCAAAAACUGUACAGUGUGACUGAUUCGGAGACGGCCCUCAACACUCGCCCAGUCGUGUCGAGAGGAUCGGUGUCUUUGC